This is a long non-coding RNA of Gallus gallus (chicken), 1862 nucleotides long. RefSeq lists it as uncharacterized. The record is from RefSeq and is a predicted model, not a curated record. The transcript is spliced from 2 exons. Lineage: Eukaryota; Metazoa; Chordata; Aves; Galliformes; Phasianidae.
GGAGGAAACCCAUUUCCAGUGCCUAGAUUGCAUGUAGUUUGAGAAACUCCGGGAUUGGCAGAGCAAUUGACUUCACCGAGCUCUCUGGUGAGCAUGAAUAAUAAUUACGAGGUGACUCUCGGAGAGGUUCUCUCUCUCUCUCUUUCUCUCUCUCUCUCUUUUUGCAUAAAAUGGUUCCGCAAUCCGAUUCCGCCCGAGAUCCAAUAUUUACCCGGUCGUAAACCUUGUGCCAUCAGAUUUUUUAAACCCGAAGGUGAUGCAAUGCCGAUAAGUUGCAAGUCCCACCCCUAUGGAAGUACCAGAGCGCUGGCGGCGAGCAUCCUUAAAGAAAUAUCAAUAUAUUUACGCUCUGAUGGGCACAAUCGCAAAUGAUGGUAUUGCAAUACGAGCUCUAUCAUACGGAAUCAGGAGAGCCAUGGUCGAUCCGGCUUCAGCUGCCUUUUGUUUCUUCCCACGGAGAGGGACACUGCUCCCCUCGUACAGCCGCGCAUUGAACCACAGUCACGUUUCAGCUGAUAAAUGACUGCUUUGGAGGAAGGAAAAGCCGAUAGGAGGAGGCGGCCGGGUGCCCGUCUGCAUCAUGCGGACACCUCAGGAGCGUUUAUUAAGAAAUAAAUAAAUAAGUAAAUAAAUAAAUAAUUUAAAAAAACCCCAAAAAACCAGAGCGGUCCCCAUUGAAAAUAACGCAGCGCGUCGGGUAAGUGGCCGCAGUCGGUGAUGGCACAGCGCUGCGCUUUGUUCUGCGCUCCGAGCGGCUCUCUCGGCUCUCACACCUCCUCGCGGGGUGUCAUUAAGUUUUGAAGGAGAGCGACGCGCUGAAAGCAUCCGCAAACACAAUUAGCAGCGAUCGAUCCCGGCAAAGUGAAUGGCGGGGGGAUAAGUUUAAUGUGAAAUUAAUUGUUAUCUCGUGCAGCGUGGCAAGUGAUGUCUUUAUCCCCGGUCUCCAAAAGCGACUGAUCAGACAAAGGUGUUGAGAGACGAGCAGAACUGCGGCGAUGGGGCUGAUAGAGCAGGUCGGGGGGAAAGGCAGGGUCCCGUGUGGGCAAACACCGCUGCAAAGAGCUCCUCUGCUUCUGCUCCGGAGAGCACGCGAUUUGUGCCAGGGUCCCGAAACUUGAAGGAGCUUUUUGGAAGUUCUCAAAAGUCCCGAGAUGACACGCCGAAGUGAGCCGAAGUCCUUAGCAAAAAUAAUAAACAAAAAUCAGCUUUAUUUGAGGAAAAACAAAAUGCAGCUCUUUGGAGUGGGAGAUGAUACGGGGAGUUUUCCCGUCUGAGUUGUAAUCCGCUGAAAGCGCGUGAAAAUGGACUUUCAAAUGAGUUUUUAAGUGGUUGAAAAAGAAUCAAGGAAAAGUUGCAUGCCAUGAACCGCAACAUGGAGGACCACCCCAACAUGCGAGGGACAAAGUGAUCUUUCUUAGGUAAACUUUAGAGGAAGAGCUGAAAGAAGUGAUCGGAAACUCUCAGAUCGACUUUUCCCUCCCGUGCACCCACUCUUCUCUUCUGUUACUUAAGGCUUCCCUGUCACCUUCCAGUCAAGCACUGCUUUCUCUUUCCCAACUUGGAAUUUCGGCGUUUUUAACGUGGGGAUGGGUAAGGAGUGAGGAAGGCAGCCGCGUGUCUGCGAGGUUUUUGUCAGCCCAUCGAGCUGCAGAAACAAGCCGUCUAACAGCCAAACGCCCGCUUCGUGCCAUGAAAAACACACUCAAGUUUUAUCUUCCCGUCUGCGUGCAUGCGAGAAGACAGAUACAAGGAAUAUGUAAUUUAUACAAAAGAGGGUAUGUUCUUUUGAUGUGGUUGCUUAAACAGCAUGACUUGAUGUAAGAGUUGAUUAAACAGUGCCAAGGAAUAAAAGCUGCCCCUAA